Long non-coding RNA from Anthonomus grandis grandis, 1070 nucleotides. RefSeq lists it as uncharacterized. The transcript is spliced from 3 exons. NCBI's taxonomy places the organism in Eukaryota, Metazoa, Arthropoda, Insecta, Coleoptera, Curculionidae. The record is from RefSeq and is a predicted model, not a curated record.
AUUUUUUGUCCUUUAAUACAACCGCUAGCUAAGAUCCUGUGUUUUUGAGAGCUCCCCGUAAUAUUACAAUUGAUAAUGUUUUUUUAGUCCAUUCUAAGUAUGUUUUGGUUUGUUACCUCUCAAGAUUCUGGCACAUAAAGUUUUUCCAACUAUUCAAUGCAUUUUAUAUGGACGUUUUUAAUCUGAUGGUUUGUAGUGCUACAAAUACCGAAGCGUUUUAAUCAACAUCAUCUUCUUCUGAUUUGUUAAAUAUGUUGAAAAAAAGAGAGAUUGAGGAAGCUGAUAUGAGAAUAAUGGUUCACAUAGCUCAGGCAGCACGUGAAAAUCAUAUGAAAAUAUGUAUUUUGUCAUCUGAUACUGACAUUAUAAUCAUGACAUUAUAUCACUUUAGAAAAUUGAAUCUGUUGGAUUAAAGGAACUAUGGAUAAAAGCAGGAACAGGGGCUACCAAACGAGACAUUGCAAUACAUAUUAUGGCAUUGCGUUGUGGCACAGAAACCUGUUUAGUACUUCCUGCACUUUACCAUUUGACUGGAGCGGAUUAUACGAGCAAAGUUGGCACAAAACGUGCUGCUUUUCAAGCCGAACCAGAAAAGUAUCUUUUGAACUUUGCACAAGGUUUAACCAAAAGUGAAAUUGAAAGCUCUGUUCGGCUUGCAGAAGAGUUUUUGGUAAAAGUAUAUCGCAGGGACAGUUCAUGUAAAAAUUUUAAUGAACUGAGAUAUUAGAUUUACCAUCACCAAAAAAAUAUUUCUUUAGAAAAGUUACCCCCAACUAGUCCAAAUAUUAGAUUUCAUAUUUUAAGAGCUUUUUUUAUUGUUUAUAAUCAAAACUUUUGUUUAAAUACAUUGGAACAUACCACUUUGCUUGAUCCACUUUGUUUUGGAUACAAGAUCGAGAAUGGUUGCCUCUUACCAAAAUCAGUAACUAACCUUUUUCCCCCGAGUGACGAUCUUUUACCAAGCUGCAAUUGCACGAAAUGUUCGCGGCAAAAUAGUUACCGUUGUAGGGCUGCUGGGUUACAGUGUUGUUCAUUUUGUUAUUGUAAAGGAGGAAUAAACCAGUAUAAAA